GUGGAGUCCUCUGAAGAGCAACAGUCAUUGUGUGGAGGUUCAAAUCCAGCUGUUAGCAUGGAACUUUCAGAACCUGUUGUAGAAAAUGGAGAGACUGAAAUGUCCCCAGAAGAAUCGUGGGAGCACAAAGAAGAAAUAAGUGAAGCAGAGCUGGGGGGGGGGGGGGUUCCUUGGGAGAUGGAAGGCCACCUGAGGAAAAUGCCCAAGAAAUGAUAAAGGAGGAAGAGGAAACGCCAAAGCCUAAAUCCGUGGCUGCUCCACCAGAUGCCCUGAGAAAAGAACAUGUAAAUGUAGUGUUCACUGGGCAUGUAGAUAUGGGCAAGUCAACCACUGAAGGACAAAUAAUGUAUCUGACUGGAAUGGUUGACAAAGGACACUUGAAAAAUAUGAAAGAGAAGCUAAGGAAAAAAACAGAGAAACUUGGUACUUGUCUUGGGCCUUAGACACAAAUGAGGAAGAAAGAGACAAGGGUAAGACAGUAGAAGUGGGUUGUGCUUAUUUUGAAACAGAAAAGCAACAUUUCACAAUUCUGGAUGCUCUUGGCCAUACGAAUUUCAUUCUAAAUAUGAUUGGCAGUGCCUCUCAAGCGGAUCUGGCUGUGUUGCUGAUUUCAGCCAGGAAAGGAGAGUUUGAAACUGGAUUUGAAAAAGGAGGACAAACCAGAGAACAUGCAAUGUUGGCAAAGACAGCAGGUGUAAAGCACUUAAUUGUGCUUAUUAAUAAGAUGGAUGAUCCAACAGUAAACUGGAGCAAUGAGAGGUAAGAAGAAUGUAAAGAGAACCUAGUGCCAUUUUUGAAAAAGGUUGGCUUCAAUCCCCAAAAGGACAUUUAUUUUAUGCCUUGCUCAGGAUUGACUGGAGCAAAUCUCAAAGAACAAUCAGAUUUCUGUCCUUGGUACAUUGGAUUACCAUUUAUUCCAUAUCUGGAUAACUUACCAAACUUCAAUAGAUCAGUUGAUGAACUAGUCAGGCUGCAAAUUGUAGAUAAGUACAAGGAUAUGGGCGCUGUGGCCCUGGGAAAGUUGGAAUCAGGAUCUAUUUGUAAAGGUCAACAGCUUGCGAUGAUGCCGAACAAGCACAACAUGGAAGUCCUUGGACUGCUUUCUGAUGCUGUAGAAACAGAUUCUGUAGCCCCAGGUGAAAACCUCAAAAUCAGGCUGAAAGGACUUGAGGAGGAGAUUCUUCCAGGAUUCAUACUCUGUGAUCCCAAUAACCUCUGUCCUUCUGGACGCACAUUUGAUGCCCAGAUAGUGAUUAUAGAAUAUAAAUCCAUCACCUGCCCAGAAUAUAAUGCUGCAUAUUCAUACCUGUACUGAGGAAGCUGAAAUAAAAACUUUUAUCUGCUUGGGAGACAAAAAAAUCAGGAGAAAAAAGUAAGACUCGCCCCCGUUUUGUGAAACAGGAUCAAGGAUGUAUCGCUCAUUUAAAGACAGCAGGAACCAUCUGCCUUGAAACCUUUACAGACUUCCCCCAAAUGAGUCGUUUUACCUUAAGAGAUGAGGGUAAGACCACUGCAAUUGGAAAAGUUCUGAAACUGGUUCUAGAGAAAGACUAAGCAUUUUUCUCAAUGACCCUGCACAAUACUGUGAGG
Molecule: RNA transcript, 1590 nt
Organism: Octodon degus (degu)
Lineage: Eukaryota; Metazoa; Chordata; Mammalia; Rodentia; Octodontidae
Gene name: eukaryotic peptide chain release factor GTP-binding subunit ERF3A pseudogene
Exons: 1
Source: RefSeq, a predicted model, not a curated record